RNAcentral lists this ribosomal RNA (441 nucleotides) under uncultured bacterium. RNAcentral describes it as "partial 16S ribosomal RNA". It matches the Rfam family "Bacterial small subunit ribosomal RNA", at positions 355 to 785 of the family's 1533-position model. The record is from RNAcentral.
UAGGGAAUCUUCGGCAAUGGACGAAAGUCUGACCGAGCAACGCCGCGUGAGUGAAGAAGGUUUUCGGAUCGUAAAACUCUGUUGGUAGAGAAGAACGUUGGUGAGAGUGGAAAGCUCAUCAAGUGACGGUAACUACCCAGAAAGGGACGGCUAACUACGUGCCAGCAGCCGCGGUAAUACGUAGGUCCCGAGCGUUGUCCGGAUUUAUUGGGCGUAAAGCGAGCGCAGGUGGUUUAUUAAGUCUGGUGUAAAAGGCAGUGGCUCAACCAUUGUAUNGCAUUGGAAACUGGUAGACUUGAGUGCAGGAGAGGAGAGUGGAAUUCCAUGUGUAGCGGUGAAAUGCGUAGAUAUAUGGAGGAACACCGGUGGCGAAAGCGGCUCUCUGGCCUGUAACUGACACUGAGGCUCGAAAGCGUGGGGGAGCAAAACAGGAUUAGAUAC